This 468-nucleotide ribosomal RNA is filed under the name uncultured bacterium. RNAcentral's name for it is "partial 16S ribosomal RNA". It matches the Rfam family "Bacterial small subunit ribosomal RNA", at positions 28 to 507 of the family's 1533-position model. The record is from RNAcentral.
GACGAACGCUGGCGGCGUGCUUAACACAUGCAAGUCGAACGGAAAGGCCCUGCUUUUGUGGGGUGCUCGAGUGGCGAACGGGGGAGUAACACGUGAGUAACCUGCCCUUGACUGUGGGAUAACUUCAGGAAACUGGGGCUAAUACCGGAUAGGAGCUCCUGCUGCAUGGUGGGGGUUGGAAAGAUUCGGCGGUUGGGGAUGGACUCGCGGGUUAUCAGCUUGUUUGUGGGGUAGUGGCUUACCAAGGCUUUGACGGGUAGGCGGCCUGAGAGGGUGACCGGCCACAUUGGGACUGCGAUACGGCCCAGACUCCUACGGGAGGCAGCAGUGGGGAAUAUUGCACAAUGGGCGGAAGCCUGAUGCAGCAACGCCGCGUGCGGGAUGACGGCCUUCGGGUUGUAAACCGCUUUCGCCUGUGACGAAGCGUGAGUGACGGUAAUGGGUAAAGAAGCACCGGCUAACUACGUG